This 73-nucleotide transfer RNA is filed under the name Clathrus columnatus. RNAcentral describes it as "tRNA-Val". It matches the Rfam family "tRNA". Rfam says of the family: Transfer RNA (tRNA) molecules are approximately 80 nucleotides in length. Their secondary structure includes four short double-helical elements and three loops (D, anti-codon, and T loops). The record is from RNAcentral. Lineage: Eukaryota; Fungi; Basidiomycota; Agaricomycetes; Phallales; Clathraceae.
GGUUUGGUAGUUCAGUUGGUGGAACGUCUGCUUAACACGCAGAAGGUCGUCGGUUCGAGUCCGGCCCAGAUCA